Molecule: ribosomal RNA, 1196 nt
Filed under: Hemisphaerius rufovarius
Lineage: Eukaryota; Metazoa; Arthropoda; Insecta; Hemiptera; Issidae
Description: 16S ribosomal RNA
Rfam family: Archaeal large subunit ribosomal RNA (bases 971-1129)
Source: RNAcentral
AAUUAAUUUUAUUUUUUAUUUAUUAAGUUUUUUAAAAAAGUUUUUUUUUUGUUUAUUAAUUUAUUUAAAUCAAAUUUUUUUUUUUUAUCGUAAGGGAUUUAAAUUAGUUUUUUGAAAGAAUAAUUUUUUUUUGUACCUUUUGUAUCAGGGUAAUUUAAAAUUUUUAAUCUAUUUUAUUUUCCCGAAAAUUGAAUAUUUAUUUUUUUAUAAUUGUUAUUGUUGAAUAACUAUUUUAAAUAGAUUAAUAGUUUUGAAAUGAAAAUCGUUUUUUUUGAUAUCUGGUUACUUAAGAAACUAAUUUAAUUAGGGAUUUCUUUUAAAUUUAUUUUUUUUUUUUUGAUUUCUAAUUUCAUAGGGGAUAAUCUUUUUGAAUAAUUUAUAAUUUAAAUUUUUUUUUUUGUGUAGGUUUAAUAUCUGUCAUCAUUUUAAGUUCGUUAAAGAUUAUUUAUGAUUUAUAUAAAAAUUUAAUUUUUUAUUAAGUUUAAAAAUUGAGUUUUUUUUUUUUUAAUAAUGAUUUAAUUAGUAAUUAACACAAAUUUAGUUUAUGAACUCGGCAAAUUUAAAUUUUCGCCUGUUUAACAAAAACAUGUCUUUUUGAUUUUAUUUAAAGUCUGACCUGCUCAAUGAUUAAUUUAAAUAGCCGCGGUAUUUUAACUGUGCUAAGGUAGCAUAAUAAUUAGUCUUUUAAUUGAGGUCUGGAAUGAAUGGUUGAACGAGAAAUUUACUUUAUUAAUUAAAUUUUUUUGAAUUUUAUUUUUUAGUUAAAAAGCUUAAAUAUCAAAAAGGGACGAUAAGACCCUAUAGAUCUUGAAAAUUAUUUUUAUUUUUGGGUUUUUAGUAUUUAUUUACUAAAUAAUAAUAUUUUUUUUGUUGGGGUGACAUUUAAAAUUUUAAACUUUAAUUUAUUUAUACAAUUUUUUUUGGUUUAAUUGAUCCUUUAUUAUGGAUAAUAAGAUAAAGAUACCUUAGGGAUAACAGCGUUAUAUAACUGGAGAGUUCUUAUUGAUAGUUAUGUUUGCGACCUCGAUGUUGGAUUAAAAUUUUACUGUGGGGUAGGUUUUACAGUUUUAGGUCUGUUCGACCUUUAAAAUUUUACAUGAUCUGAGUUCAAACCGGUGUGAGCCAGGUUGGUUUCUAUCUUUUUUAUAUUUUUUCUGAUUAGUACGAAAGGAUUUUUAGAAAGUAAAAUUUAUUUA